GACGAACGCUGGCGGCGUGCCUAACACAUGCAAGUCGAACGGAUUUAAACCUUCGGGUUUAAGUUAGUGGCGGACGGGUGAGUAACGCGUGAGUAACCUGCCUUUGAGAGUGGAAUAACAGUCUGAAAAGACUGCUAAUACCGCAUAAUGUACUUUAACCGCAUGGAUUUAGUACCAAAGAUUUAUCGCUCAAAGAUGGACUCGCGUCCGAUUAGAUAGUUGGUGAGGUAACGGCUCACCAAGUCGACGAUCGGUAGCCGGACUGAGAGGUUGAACGGCCACAUUGGGACUGAGACACGGCCCAG
RNAcentral lists this ribosomal RNA (305 nucleotides) under uncultured bacterium. RNAcentral describes it as "bacterial SSU rRNA". It matches the Rfam family "Bacterial small subunit ribosomal RNA", at positions 28 to 334 of the family's 1533-position model. The record is from RNAcentral.